GGAGCCAUUUCCGUGCCUCCGCCUAGGAGUCAGACUUUCUGGGGUGCAGCGCGGUCCGUGGUGCCAGGACAGGCAGGAAGCCUGCCUUAGCACCCCGCUGUGCCGCUGACUGGGAGCUGCCAAAGAUGAAAUAAACUCCAGAUGUGGAUGUGUUUAGCUGUGGAGUGACAUAAUUCAAAGCCUAGAGACUGGCUUCAGCUAGACAUCACCACCAAGCGACUGAAGCGCUGAUCAAAGGAGAG
Long non-coding RNA from Gopherus evgoodei (Goodes thornscrub tortoise), 242 nucleotides. RefSeq lists it as uncharacterized. The record is from RefSeq and is a predicted model, not a curated record. Lineage: Eukaryota; Metazoa; Chordata; Testudines; Testudinidae. The transcript is spliced from 3 exons.